Long non-coding RNA from Gallus gallus (chicken), 2250 nucleotides. Lineage: Eukaryota; Metazoa; Chordata; Aves; Galliformes; Phasianidae. The record is from Ensembl.
CACUGCUUCAAGCCAUGACUCAGCAUUUCCACUACACUCCACCACUUUACAGCAUGAACUACUGACUGAGCAGGUUAAAGAUAUAUUUACAUGGCCAGACAUCUUCGUAGCUCAUAUGAAAGAGCAAGUGAGAGCAAAAAUGGCAGAGGGGAAGAGGAAAGGAGGGAAGGAAAGAAGAAGAGACUGAGAUAAAACAAAUGGAUGAGUGGACCAUUGGAAUUACCAACACUUCUCCCAGUAUUUCUUCUGUUCUCUCUUAACAACAGAUUCCACUUCCAUUUUUCUGUGUUGCCGUAUUUCUCAACUUCUUAUCCUUUUAUUUCGAAUGAACAUUUCAUCCAGUCUGUGAAGAACUGCUUCUAUUAAAGACAUAAACAGCCCUUGUAGCCUUUGAUGUAAAUCAGUGACUUUCAGUUAUGGUCUCCAUUGCAUGUUCAUUGAUAAGCUAGGUUUGUUCUUUCCCAUUGCUAGUCCUAAAAAGCCUACAGCAUGCACUAUUCUUCCUUUGGCUCCCUUCACUCCCUUACAGUCAUGUUUUGAGUGCUGCAGCACAGACAGUCCCACAGAACCAGCCAUAAAACCCCUGUACACUCUGUGCACCUUUGUUAGCCCAUGGGAACUCUGCUGAACUCCUGCAGUGUACCAUCAUCAUAGGGAGAUAAGAGAAACCACGCAUUGCUCAAAUCUCUCUGCUCAGUGACUCUCUGUUGUUUAUUUAAUGGUAUUUGUGUUAAUUUCAUUUGCUACCCGUUUGCUUGUGAGUGGCUACCACCUCCCCUUAGUAAAAUGGCAAAGAAUCAGUUGAGUCAACAGAAAAUUUAAUUUCAGAUACAACUGAAAAUUAAAAUACACUUUAAUAUACCCUAGAUUUAGAUUGGGAUGUAUACCUCAGGUUCAUGUCUAAAUUAAUGAAAUAAAUAAACAUGCAACAUCUUCUACUUUUUAAAAAAGAUGUUCCCCUGGCUAAUAUUUGAAACAGAGAAACCACUGAAUUUUUCAACUGAAAAGAAAAAUGGUUUAACUUGCACUGAACUGCUAAGAGAUCUCUACAAGCAGUCACACACACACAUACAGUAACUGUAGCUGCAGCAGCUUAUCAUUUACAAAAUGACAAAGUACCGGAUGUAUUUCAGAGACAAAUGCAGUGACUUUUGUUUUUAUUUUUUAAUUGCUUACUAUCUUCUGAUAUUGAUGCUGAAUUUCCACUUUAUACUCGGACUCUUCACAAUCCUAAGUGUCACGUGUGAUAGCCCUAGCUUCACAGUAUUCCCCUUAUCUAGUGAAAGUCAUCACACUAAAUAUAAAGACACGGGACUCGUACACUAAGCAGGUUUUCUUCUCUAAUUAAAAGCAGCAAUAUAAUAUCAAUAGAAUAAAAUUUAUUAUCUAGACCUCUAGACAUUUUUUGUAGAUAUUGAUCAGAUUUUGGAAGGUUGGGGUGGGUUAUAUCUAUUGAAGUUGUUCCAGGAAGAAGAAGGAGGCUGACAGGUAGGAAAGAGUUAUUUUAAAAUUGCACCAAUACUCUGUUUGUUUCCCAGUUAUCUGGGACUUAGCUGACGCUGAAAGAUCACGUCAGUGUUUUUGAAAUACGUUAAGAUAUAAUUUGGGAAAGAUCUUACAUUUUCUUUUUCCAAGCAACACUUGUUCAAACUCUUCAUUAACAACUCCAUGAACAAGGAGUGACAAAUACGUAGACAUGGAGACUGGAAACAUCAGCACAAAAUAACCGUUUGUGUUUAAAAAAGAUUAAUGCAAGCUUGUACUAGUAGAGGAAAUAAUCUGAAACAUAAGGAUUGAGUACAGGGGAAAACCUGGAAACAGUAAUCCUGAAUGAUUCAGAAGUGAAAAUAAAUACUGAAUGAUUCAGAAGUGAAAAUAAAUAUUGAAUGCGGCUGGACAGCAUAUAGGAAUAACUUAGCCUGUUUAAGGUCAGAAUCAAUCACUGAACAGACUUCAAGCAUUCAGAAUUAUUCAAAAUCACUGAACAGACGUUGAACAUUCAGAAUUACUUAACUAUUUUUUACGUGACCAUACUCCACUUUAUGGACUGCACACAAGUUUUUUUUGCAGUUAAUAAGGGCUUCAAGUACUUGCUAUUCAGAGCGUGUGAUCCAUCAUUUCAAGUGCUUGAUACUGAUUCACACACUGUCUGGAUAACUCCCAGUGCAACACAGAAGUCUUUAGAGUUGGCUGCACACGUGUUCCAAUGUAAAUAAGCAGACUAGUUGAGAUCCUUCUUCAAAUAAUAAU